CCCAACCCUAAAUUAACUCCUCCUCAUUCAGUCAUUCCUUCAUUGAAAUGCUGCCACGGUGAGAGAAAUCUUGAAGCUCUGCCACUGCGAUCUCCUCUGUCACGGUCUCUCCUCCGGUGACAAUCCUCUCCAGCGACGACCUCCUCCGGCGAAGUCUCCUCCAGCGGCGACCUCCUCUUGCAACAUCUUCUCCAAUGGCAAUCUCCUCCUGCGAUGAUCUCCUCCUACCAGCGACGGUCUCUUCCGGCAACGUCUCCUCCAGCGGCGACCUCCUUCUGCGACGUCUUCUCCAGUGACGGUCUCCUUCGGCGACGUCUCUUCUAGCGACAUCUCCUCCAGCGGUGAUCUCCUCCUGUGGCGUUCUUCUACACUGGCAAUCUCGUCUAUCCAGCUAUUGAGCUGCGAGUUUCUCCUCCGGCAGACUCACGAAACUUUAAUAACUAUUUCAGGCUUUAAUCUGUGUUCCGCAUAUCAGAACACUCGGAGAUGCUCUUAUAAACCGGCUGCGAUAUCCUCAACAAGCUGAUGGAGAAAUGAGCCCCAACUACAUCUGAGAAGUCACUGGUGCUAGUGGUAGUAAUGCAGGAAAAUUUGUUGUUCUUCACCUUCGUUUUGUUAAGAUAAAAGAAAUUGAAUGGUGGGAAUAUAUAUAUGAUGAGGCGCAACAGUGUUUUCUCAACCAAGGAGGCGCAUCAACAGUGGAAACAUAUAUAUAUAUAUAUACGAAGUACUUGAGAAAAUCGAAAAAGGUGCUUUUGGUUCUGCACUUCUUGUCAAGGACCAGCAUGAGAAGAAAAACAUCAUGGAAAUAUUGUAGUGGAUGAUGUUAAUGACGGAAGGAUGAUCUUCUAGGAUUUUGCAAAUAAGGGUUGGCUCAACUGGGGACGGAAAAGAAUAAGAAGAAUGGGAAUAUAUUUAAAAGAUGGAAGUGGACCUAGACCUUGGAAACUAUGAGCGCUUUAUGGAUAUCAAGUUGACUCGUGAUAAUAACAUAACCACUGGGAAGAUUUACUAG
Molecule: non-coding RNA, 1015 nt
Organism: Arachis ipaensis
Lineage: Eukaryota; Viridiplantae; Streptophyta; Magnoliopsida; Fabales; Fabaceae
Source: RefSeq, a predicted model, not a curated record